RNAcentral lists this ribosomal RNA (274 nucleotides) under uncultured bacterium. Its description in RNAcentral is "partial 16S ribosomal RNA". It matches the Rfam family "Bacterial small subunit ribosomal RNA", at positions 524 to 796 of the family's 1533-position model. The record is from RNAcentral.
GACGGAGGGUGCUAGCGUUGUUCGGAAUCACUGGGCGUAAAGGGCGCGUAGGCGGCCUUGGCGGUCGGCUUGUGAAAGCCCGGGGCUCAACCCCGGAGGUGCGGCCGAAACACCAAGGCUGGAGGCCGGAAGAGGAGGGUGGAAUACCCAGUGUAGAGGUGAAAUUCGUAGAUAUUGGGUGGAACACCGGUGGCGAAAGCGGCUCUCUGGUCCGGGCCUGACGCUGAGGCGCGAAAGCGUGGGGAGCAAACAGGAUUAGAAACCCGCGUAGUCC